This 502-nucleotide ribosomal RNA is filed under the name uncultured bacterium. RNAcentral describes it as "partial 16S ribosomal RNA". It matches the Rfam family "Bacterial small subunit ribosomal RNA", at positions 29 to 507 of the family's 1533-position model. The record is from RNAcentral.
AGCGAACGCUGGCGGCGUGCCUAACACAUGCAAGUCGAACGUGAAAGGGAGCAGUCCCAAGUAAUGUGGCGUGCGGGUGAGUAACACGUAGGUAAUCUACCCCAGAAUCUGGAAUCACCGGCCGCAAGGCUGGCUAAUACUGGAUAGAGCGACGGAAUCCGUACUUGAUUUUUUCGGACAAGGGGGCCUGUCAAAAGUCCUUCGUUCUUGGAUGCGCCUGCGUCCCAUCAGCUAAUUGGGUAGGUAAAAGCUUACCAAGGCAAUGACGGGUAACUGGUCUGAGAGGACGAUCAGGCACAAUGGGACCGAAACAAGGUCCAGACCCCCACGGGAGGGAGCAGGGGGGAAUCUUGCGCAAUUGAGCAAAGUCUUGCGCAGCCACGCCCCGGUAGGUAAGAAGGCCUUUGGGUUGGAAAGCUCUGUCGAGUGGGACGAAAAUGCUUGGAGUGCACAGCUCCAGGAACUGACGGUACCACUAAAGGAAGCACCGGCUAACUACGUG